GGGNGAAGCCUGAAGGAGCGACGCCGCGUGGGGGAUGAAUGGCUUCGGCCCGUAAACCCCUGUCAUUUGCGAACAAAUUGAUUCACCUAAUACGUGGAUCAUUGAUUGUAGCGGAAGAGGAAGGGACGGCUAACUCUGUGCCAGCAGCCGCGGUAAUACAGAGGUCCCAAGCGUUGUUCGGAUUCACUGGGCGUAAAGGGUGCGUAGGCGGUCGGGUAAGUCUGACGUGAAAUCUCCGAGCUUAACUCGGAAACGGCGUUGGAUACUAUCCGACUCGAGGAAUGGAGGGGAGACUGGAAUACUUGGUGUAGCAGUGAAAUGCGUAGAUAUCAAGUGGAACACCAGUGGCGAAGGCGAGUCUCUGGACAUUUCCUGACGCUGAGGCACGAAAGCCAGGGGAGCAAACGGGAUUAGAUACCCCGGUAGUCCUGGCCCUAAACGGUGCGCGUUUGCUGUGAGUGGAAUCGACCCCGCUCGUGGCGAAGUUAACACGUUAAACGCGCCGCCUGGGAAGUACGGCCGCAAGGUUAAAACUCAAAAAAAUUGACGGA
This 551-nucleotide ribosomal RNA is filed under the name uncultured bacterium. Its description in RNAcentral is "bacterial SSU rRNA". It matches the Rfam family "Bacterial small subunit ribosomal RNA", at positions 373 to 917 of the family's 1533-position model. The record is from RNAcentral.